CAAACAGGAGAAAGGGGUAUUAACAUGUUCUACCCAGACUUGAGACAUUCCAUCUUGUCUUUGCACAAAAUAACUCUUGAAUAAUUUUCAAAAAAAUAACUCUAAAUAAGCUCAAGUGUUCUGGAAAUAAAAUUUCUGCCAUGACAACAGCAGAUAGUAGCUCGACUGAAACUUCAAUACAGAUGAAUCCAUAUAACUUAAUCAGCCUAAUUACUACAAAACAUUUACUAGUUAUCUUUUACAAUCAUACUGCUGCCUAAAGAGCUCAUCAUCGUUGAAAGAGCUGGACUGGACUGGACGGACUUCCCAGACCAUAGUUUAUGCAACUUGAGAAAAAACUGGUGCCAAGGCAACACUUCAGUUUGAUUUGGUCAACCCAGGUUCUCUGCAAAAUUGCAAAAUAAGAUAUUAGAUGAAUAACACUGACGCACCAGAAACCGGAAAUGCCUGCAAUAAUUCCAAACCUUCUAAUGUGCUCAAGUAUGACAAGUCUUGGACCAGGGGGGAUAUUCACAUCCCUGAGUGCGCUGGAGGAUAGUGCAAGACAAACGUGAUUUUUCAUCAACCGAAUGGUAUAUUUCAGUAAGCAUAUAUAACUAAUUUUUAAAGAUUGCUUCUUUUCCGUAGUUGCAGGACUCAAUUGAGUAUUAAAGAUAUGUACCUUUCAUUGAGAAGAGGCAAUGUUUCAUCAGUCAGAAGACCCUUCUUGAAAUUCUUCUCAUAGUUUUGGAGGCCUAAUUGGUUCAACAUAUUUCUUGCACGAGAAUAGUUCAUAUCUUCAUUAUGUGUCUUUGUCUUCGAGAAUUUCUGUCCAACCUACAACAGUGAAGUUGCAAUGCAACGUGAAGGCUCACCAACACAUUCAGUACUAAAACCUAGAG
RNAcentral lists this long non-coding RNA (881 nucleotides) under Triticum aestivum (bread wheat). Its description in RNAcentral is "long non-coding RNA (TAES_LNC020917)". The record is from RNAcentral. Lineage: Eukaryota; Viridiplantae; Streptophyta; Magnoliopsida; Poales; Poaceae.